This is a small nuclear RNA of Heterobasidion irregulare TC 32-1, 189 nucleotides long. It matches the Rfam family "U2 spliceosomal RNA". From Rfam's summary of the family: U2 is a small nuclear RNA (snRNA) component of the spliceosome (involved in pre-mRNA splicing). Complementary binding between U2 snRNA (in an area lying towards the 5' end but 3' to hairpin I) and the branchpoint sequence (BPS) of the intron results the bulging out of an unpaired adenosine, on the BPS, which initiates a nucleophilic attack at the intronic 5' splice site, thus starting the first of two transesterification reactions that mediate splicing. NCBI's taxonomy places the organism in Eukaryota, Fungi, Basidiomycota, Agaricomycetes, Russulales, Bondarzewiaceae. The record is from Rfam.
UUACCACUCUGGCCUUUUGGCUUAGAUCAAGUGUAGUAUCUGUUCUUUAUAGUAUAACCACUAUAACGCGGGCACCGCCCGCUACAUUGGUUUUCUUAUUUUUGCCGCCCUUGUCCGCCGAGCUCUGCUUGCAACUCGACGGCGCGAUGACUUUGCCGCUGCACUACUGGCUUAUGUCGUCGGGGGAUC